Molecule: ribosomal RNA, 465 nt
Filed under: uncultured bacterium
Lineage: Bacteria
Description: partial 16S ribosomal RNA
Rfam family: Bacterial small subunit ribosomal RNA
Source: RNAcentral
GACGAACGCUGGCGGCGUGCUUAACACAUGCAAGUCGAACGGAAAGGCCCCUUCGGGGGUACUCGAGUGGCGCACGGGUGAGUAACACGUGAGUAACCUGCCCUUGACUUCGGGAUAACUUCAGGAAACUGGGGCUAAUACCGGAUAGGAAUCCUUGCUGCAUGGUGGGGGUUGGAAAGCUUCGGCGGUUUUGGAUGGACUCGCGGCUUAUCAGCUUGUUGGUGGGGUAGUGGCUUACCAAGGCUUUGACGGGUAGCCGGCCUGAGAGGGCGACCGGCCACAUUGGGACUGAGAUACGGCCCAGACUCCGACGGGAGGCAGCAGUGGGGAAUAUUGCACAAUGGGCGGAAGCCUGAUGCAGCAACGCCGCGUGCGGGAUGACGGCCUUCGGGUUGUAAACCGCUUUCAGCAGGGGCGAAGCUUGUGGUGACGGUACCUGCAGAAGAAGCACCGGCUAACUACGUG